AUUGAACGCUGGCGGAAUGCUUUACACAUGCAAGUCGAACGGCAGCACGGGGGCAACCCUGGUGGCGAGUGGCGAACGGGUGAGUAAUACAUCGGAACGUGCCCAGUCGUGGGGGAUAACGUAGCGAAAGUUACGCUAAUACCGCAUACGAUCUACGGAUGAAAGCGGGGGACCGUAAGGCACCGCGCGAGUGGAGCGGCCGAUGUCAGAUUAGGUAGUUGGUGAGGUAAAGGCUCACCAAGCCGACGAUCUGUAGCUGGUCUGAGAGGACGACCAGCCACACUGGGACUGAGACACGGCCCAGACUCCUACGGGAGGCAGCAGUGGGGAAUUUUGGACAAUGGGCGCAAGCCUGAUCCAGCCAUUCCGCGUGCAGGACGAAGGCCUUCGGGUUGUAAACUGCUUUUGUACGGAACGAAAAGGCUCUGGUUAAUACCUGGGGCUCAUGACGGUACCGUAAGAAUAAGCACCGGCUAACUACGUGCCAGCCGCCGCCGUAA
RNAcentral lists this ribosomal RNA (500 nucleotides) under uncultured bacterium. RNAcentral describes it as "partial 16S ribosomal RNA". It matches the Rfam family "Bacterial small subunit ribosomal RNA", at positions 30 to 523 of the family's 1533-position model. The record is from RNAcentral.